RNAcentral lists this ribosomal RNA (253 nucleotides) under uncultured bacterium. RNAcentral's name for it is "partial 16S ribosomal RNA". It matches the Rfam family "Bacterial small subunit ribosomal RNA", at positions 524 to 776 of the family's 1533-position model. The record is from RNAcentral.
UACGUAGGGGGCAAGCGUUGUCCGGAAUCAUUGGGCGUAAAGAGCUCGUAGGCGGUCUGUCGCGUCGGCUGUGAAAUCCCGGAGCUCAACUCCGGGUCUGCAGUCGAUACGGGCAAACUGGAGUACUGCAGGGGAGACUGGAAUUCCUGGUGUAGCGGUGAAAUGCGCAGAUAUCAGGAGGAACACCGGUGGCGAAGGCGGGUCUCUGGGCAGUAACUGACGCUGAGGAGCGAAAGCGUGGGGAGCGAACAGG